RNAcentral lists this ribosomal RNA (406 nucleotides) under uncultured bacterium. RNAcentral's name for it is "partial 16S ribosomal RNA". It matches the Rfam family "Bacterial small subunit ribosomal RNA", at positions 29 to 526 of the family's 1533-position model. The record is from RNAcentral.
AUUGAACGCUGGCGGCAGGCCUAACACAUGCAAGUCGAACGAGUGGCGGACGGGUGAGUAAUGUCUGGGAAACUGCCUGAUGGAGGGGGAUAACUACUGGAAACGGUAGCUAAUACCGCAUACCAUCAGAUGUGCCCCGAUGGGAUUAGCUUGUUGGGGGGGUAACGGAUCACCAAGGCGACGAUCCCUAGCUGGUCUGCGAGGAUGACCAGCCACACUGGAACCGAGACACGGUUCAGAAGCCUACGGGAGGCAGGAGUGGGGAAUAUUGCACGAGGGGCGCAAGCCCGAUGCAGCCAUGCCGGGAUGAUGAAGAAGGCCAUCGGGUUGUAAAGUACUUUCAGCGGGGAGGCGUUACCCGAAGAAGAAGCACCGGCUAACUCCGUGCCAGCAGCCGCGGUAAUAC